UACGUUUUAGUAUAUGAUGUACAAAGGUUUUUGAUGCCUUGAGGGACAGGUUGCCCUGUCAGAUGUAA
RNAcentral lists this transfer RNA (68 nucleotides) under Histeridae sp. BMNH 1274745. RNAcentral describes it as "tRNA-Gln". The record is from RNAcentral. Lineage: Eukaryota; Metazoa; Arthropoda; Insecta; Coleoptera; Histeridae.